Molecule: ribosomal RNA, 583 nt
Filed under: uncultured bacterium
Lineage: Bacteria
Description: partial 16S ribosomal RNA
Rfam family: Bacterial small subunit ribosomal RNA
Source: RNAcentral
UGGGGAAUUUUGGACAAUGGGCGAAAGCCUGAUCCAGCAAUGCCGCGUGUGUGAAGAAGGCCUUCGGGUUGUAAAGCACUUUUGUCCGGAAAGAAAUCCUUGGCUCUAAUACAGUCGGGGGAUGACGGUACCGGAAGAAUAAGCACCGGCUAACUACGUGCCAGCAGCCGCGGUAAUACGUAGGGUGCAAGCGUUAAUCGGAAUUACUGGGCGUAAAGCGUGCGCAGGCGGUUUGCUAAGACCGAUGUGAAAUCCCGGGCUCAACCUGGGAACUGCAUUGGUGACUGGCAGGCUAGAGUAUGGCAGAGGGGGGUAGAAUUCCACGUGUAGCAGUGAAAUGCGUAGAGAUGUGGAGGAAUACCGAUGGCGAAGGCAGCCCCUGGGCCAAUACUGACGCUCAUGCACGAAAGCGUGGGGAGCAAACAGGAUUAGAUACCCUGGUAGUCCACGCCCUAAACGAUGUCAACUAGUUGUUGGGGAUUCAUUUCCUUAGUAACGUAGCUAACGCGUGAAGUUGACCGCCUGGGGAGUACGGUCGCAAGAUUAAAACUCAAAUGAAUUGACGGGGUCAUAGCUGUUUCCU